Molecule: long non-coding RNA, 316 nt
Organism: Ochotona princeps (American pika)
Lineage: Eukaryota; Metazoa; Chordata; Mammalia; Lagomorpha; Ochotonidae
Exons: 3
Source: RefSeq, a predicted model, not a curated record
GUCCCGCUUCUUCAUGCGAGGCAGAGAGGCGGCGGGGCUCUCCUCGCCCGUCCCGGCCCCGGCGCCCAGACCCCGGCGCCCCCAGCGCACCCACAGCCGGCAGAGGGAGAGAGAAAGAGAAAACACAUAUAUCUAUAAUUUCAGUCUCCAAGUGACUACAAUGGAGCCCAGAGCAAGGAACACGAUCGAGGUCUCCUAGCUCUGCACUUCCUGCUUGACAACAUGUUGCUAUGUUGCCCCUGAAGUAGGAAUGGAAACCCUUCAGCGCUUGUCAUUUCUGUAUUUUUGGCACAGGUAUUAAGAAAAGUGUGGUUGA